UACGUAGGUGGCAAGCGUUAUCCGGAAUUAUUGGGCGUAAAGCGCGCGUAGGCGGUUUUUUAAGUCUGAUGUGAAAGCCCACGGCUCAACCGUGGAGGGUCAUUGGAAACUGGAAAACUUGAGUGCGGAAGAGGAAAGUGGAAUUCCAUGUGUAGCGGUGAAGUGCGCAGAGGUAUGGAGGAACACCAGUGGCGAAGGCGACUUUCUGGUCUGUAACUGACGCUGAUGUGCGAAAGCGUGGGGAUC
RNAcentral lists this ribosomal RNA (246 nucleotides) under uncultured Staphylococcus sp. RNAcentral describes it as "partial 16S ribosomal RNA". It matches the Rfam family "Bacterial small subunit ribosomal RNA", at positions 524 to 769 of the family's 1533-position model. The record is from RNAcentral. Lineage: Bacteria; Bacillati; Bacillota; Bacilli; Caryophanales; Staphylococcaceae.